Molecule: long non-coding RNA, 380 nt
Filed under: Nicotiana benthamiana
Lineage: Eukaryota; Viridiplantae; Streptophyta; Magnoliopsida; Solanales; Solanaceae
Description: long non-coding RNA (NBEN_LNC039715)
Source: RNAcentral
AACCUAUCGAUUCCGGAACAAAAUUGCCCUCCGUUUACCUUUGGCGAAAAAAAUGCCCCCACCGUUAACUUUGAAUCUAACAGAAUCUUGAAUUUCAUUUUUUAUUUUUUUUUAAUGCCACGUGUCACGUUUUGAUUGGGACAUAUAAAGAACGGAAAAUUGGGACAUAUAAAGAACGGAAUAAGGGUUAAAACUCGUUUUGAUAGGCCAUUAAAUAAACUUGAUCCAAAAUCAAUUCUCACCCAAAUUCCGAUUCAACCCGACCCAACCCAAAGAGAUUGGAAAAUUGGGACAUAUAAAGAACGGAAUAAGGGUCAAAACUGCCCUCAACGUAUUGACUCCGGAACAAAAUUGCCCUCCGUUAACCUUUUUUGGGUCGG